Molecule: long non-coding RNA, 1332 nt
Organism: Bos taurus (domestic cattle)
Lineage: Eukaryota; Metazoa; Chordata; Mammalia; Artiodactyla; Bovidae
Source: Ensembl
AUUUGGGUCAGUGGUUGCAGUGUGUGCCUUAGUGGCUCUUGGGAGUGACUGAUUGCCGGUUCCCGGUCCUCGGUGGGGGUUGAGGUGGAGACGGGCGCCCUGCUCCUGGCGGGCCUGGAGGAAGCCUGGAGCCCCAGGACAGCGCUCCUGCCUCCUGCCGGAUGAGACCUGGCCCUGGGGCCGGGGCCGUCGAGAAGGACGCUGGGCCCCCCGUGCGCUCGCCCUGCUGUGCCAGCUGUGAGGACGGUGUCUCACUCCACACCCGGCUGUGCCUGUGCUCCCGCAUCGCAGAAGCUACUGAUCCCGCCUCCUCAGAGCCGGCUGCAGUGGGCUGGGGGCGGCUUCCUGCCUGUUCAAGGUGGGGAAGGGGCCUGCCCUCCACAGUCCACAUCCCCCCUCGGGAGACUCGGGUGUCCCCGCUCCCGAGCCUUUCGGGGGUCCUUGGGGAGCAGCCAAGUGUUGUUGCUUUGUCCAUCCUGACGGCACCCAGGUUUCAUCACUGCUGUAUUCUGUCAGUGGCCACUGUGAAUUUGCUUUCCAUCCUCCAAAAAUGCACUGCCGCCUUGAGUCUGCCAUCAACGCCUUUCCUGUUCCACUGGGGAGCACCACCUCUGUUCUAUAGGGAUGACUUCAGUGCUGGGGAGCAGGGAGAGAGGAUGUUCUCAUCUCCUGAGCCACUCGGACCUGCCUUCUCUGCCGCCGUCCAGCUGCUCCUGUGCUUUAUACGUUUACCUCCCCAGCCCUUCCUCUUUUUCAACUGUCCACAAAGACUGAGCACCAAAGAACUGAUGCUUUUGAACUGUGGUGUUGGAGAAGACUCUUGAGAGUCCCUUGGACUGCAAGGAGAUCCAACCAGUCCAUCCUAAAGGAGAUUGGUCCUGGGUGUUCAUCAGAAGGACUGAUGUUGAAGCUGAAACUCCAAUACUUUGGCCACCUGAUGUGAAGGGCUGACUCAUCUGAAAAGACUCUGAUGCUGGGAAAGACUGAGGGCAGGAGGAGAAGGGGACAACAGAGGAUGAGAUGGUUGGACGGCAUCACGGACUCAAUGGAUGUGAGUUUGAGCAAGCUCCGGGAGAUGGUGAGGACAGAGAGCCCUGGCGUGCUGCCGUCCGUGGGGUUGCAGAGUCGGACACGACUGAGCGACUGAACAGCAACAAAGAUGCCGCCUCUGAAGGGCCGUCAUGAGUUGUUACAAAAACGCCUCCUUUCUCGGUGAAAACAAGGACGAGUUGGUAGAGUUAUUUCUCGAGGCAUGAGUGUAUGUGUGAUUCUGUAAGUGUGUGUGUGUGUGUGUGGGUGCAAGGAGUGGGUGGGAGGCAGAUGAGAGCGGAG